Molecule: ribosomal RNA, 504 nt
Filed under: uncultured bacterium
Lineage: Bacteria
Description: bacterial SSU rRNA
Rfam family: Bacterial small subunit ribosomal RNA
Source: RNAcentral
AGGACGAACGCUGGCGGCGUGCCUAACACAUGCAAGUCGAGCGGGGACAUACGACGGAGAAGAAGUUUCGGAUGGAAUCGAAGAUGUAUGUUCUAGCGGCGGACGGGUGAGCAACGCGUGAGCAACCUGUCCUUCACAGGGGGAUAACACAGCGAAAGUUGUACUAAUACCGCAUAAGACCACGGCAGGGCAUCCUGGUGAGGUCAAAGGAGCAAUCCGGUGAAGGGUGGGCUCGCGUCCGAUUAGAUAGUUGGUGAGGUAACGGCCCACCAAGUCAACGAUCGGUAGCCGACCUGAGAGGGUGAUCGGCCACAUUGGGACUGAGACACGGCCCAAACUCCUACGGGAGGCAGCAGUGGGGAAUAUUGGGCAGUGGGGGGAACCCUGACCCAGCAACGCCGCGUGAGGGAAGAAGGUUUUCGGAUCGUAAACCUCUGUCCUUGGUGAAGAGGAAGAGACGGUAGCCAAGGAGGAAGCCCCGGCUAACUACGUGCCAGCAGCGGC